Molecule: long non-coding RNA, 4738 nt
Filed under: Triticum aestivum (bread wheat)
Lineage: Eukaryota; Viridiplantae; Streptophyta; Magnoliopsida; Poales; Poaceae
Description: long non-coding RNA (TAES_LNC006690)
Source: RNAcentral
GAGGACCAGGCGAGCGAUCGACGACGGCGGCAGCAGGCUGGGGCUUAGAGGGCUGCGGCAGCAAGCUCCAACGGCGGCUCCAGCGAAAGCAGCAAGCUCCAGCGGGCGACGACAGUUGGGUAUUUUCCUGGUAAUUACCCAGGGUCCGAACCAGAGGACUAAUUGCAGCCACUUUGUUAGGUAUUGGCGAUUUUUCUUUUGUCAAUUCUCCAGGAUCUGAAGUUCCGAAUCAACUGCAGUAAUUCUGAAUAUAACAGAUGAAGAUUUAUGUAGUGACAUUGUACAAUAAUAGGGUGGAAAGUUUAUUUAUAUUUUUCAUUCAUGCUAGUGUACUGUGUACUGUAAGCACAAGUUCUUGUUUUUUGAUGAUUAUACGUGCAAGCUAAUAAUAUGCCCAACUAGUGCAGUUGUGUCCAGAUUACUAGAAGAUGGAUAGAAAGGGGAAUGGAUUAGCAAAUCCAAAGAAAAGGGAAAGAGGUAAUUUCUGAAAUUUUGUAGUAAUUUCUCAUUGAGUUGGCUAUGCUUUCUACCGGUAGCGACGGCAACAAUUGAAAGGGCCUUCUCAUCAAUGAAAAUCAUCAAGACUGAGUUGCGCAGCAAGAUGACCGAUGGUUGGCUUAAUGGCUUGAGGUUUGUUAUAUUGAGCGAGAGAUCUUCAAAAGUAUUGGUCUUGGUAAAAUUAAGAAAGAUUUUCAGAAAUGAGGGUAGGGCAUUGCCAUUGCCUGGGUCAUUGAGCCGCCAUUGAAAGCUUUAUUAUCGUUAUGUUUUAAGUUGUUUUCCUAUUGAAACAUGCCUACAUUUUUAUUGUAUUUAGUUUUUCGGUUGUAAUCUGUAUUGACUCUUUCGAUUUGCAUCAAAAGAAUUCUUUCCUUAAGACUUCGCCACACCUUAAAUUUUUUUCGUCCUCCGCCUCUGAGGCCAGACAUACAUUGCCUCUAAUUUCUUCUGAUCCAAAUCUGAUGCACAAAAGCUAAAAAAAAGGGCAUUGACAAAAAGAAUCAAAGAUGCCACCAGAAGAGUACACUUGGUAACUUCAAAAAAAAAAAAAAAGAAGAAGAGUACACUUGGUUUAACUAUCACAUUCACAUGGCAGCAAAUUCAACGUAAGCAUUUUUGCGAUUUUGUACUGGAUCGUUACAUUACUUGACCCACGACACGAUUCAUUCAAGAAUUGUGGGAACUUGCGCGGAUGGUAAGUUAACGAGUCACUGACUCAAAGUGGUAGAGAUCGUAACACGAUGCUAUGCUCCUAGACAUAGUUCAAGCUGAACUGUAAGCAAAUGAACCUUAUAUGCGUUCUGGCGCCAUCCUUCUAUACCCUUUGUGAAAUGGAGCCGUAGACCUUUCUGUGAUGUGGUACCCUACUGGUUCCGCCUUAGCUAUCUAUCUAUGGUGUAGUGCAGGUGAGCUUGAUCACUCUGCAGUUUCGGUGAUGAGCUCCUUGAGUACCUGUUUUAGGCCACUCAUCUUCUUCCGGGCUCUCUGCGAACCAUUUCCGUGGAAAAGGUUAGCAUUUGAUCAAUACUGGCAUCCCUGGGGUUUAGGAAUGAUGUUUGACUUACCUUCUGAACCUCCGAGAUUUUGGUUUCGGCGUCCUUGAGCUGAGAAUCAACUGUUCUCUCGGCAUGUUGGAGGAGCUUCUUGUGUGAUGCUCCUGUUGAUGCAAUCAUAAAACAACACCAUGGUUAAGUGGUAAUCCUGGUGGCAAACGGUUAGAAAAACAGAGCAUUUAAACAGAUUUCUUCAAGUGGCUGUAUGGUUAUAUAUUCCAUUUGCCUCUUAAAAAUGAUAACAGUGAGCUAAAACUAUAAUUACUUCACUGCUGACUAUUUCUUCUAAUCAUGUGCCAAUGUAGAUUGGACGAUCAUUCUUUUUCAAUUAAAAACCAUCUGAUUUAACCACAUUAUUCAGCAACAAACGUCAAACCUUACAAUGUUGGAAUCUUAUGUGCCUGGGUCAGAUGACAUAAAGUUUGCAAUCUGUAAUCAAACUGCUCCAAUGGUGAUACUUCAUAAGGCUCCGUUUUGACAAAGGUUAACAUGAUUCCACAUUUUUGGGAGUUCAUGCAGUAUCAGUUUGCAAUAAAUAGUCCAGCAAGUAAAAUAUUGCAUUUGCAUUUUGCAAGUGUAUGGUUUCAAGUUAAACUUACUUUGCUUGUCAGCUGCUCCCUUAAGUUCUGCAUGAUAGGCUUCAAAUUCCUCAAGCGAGUUCUUGCAACCAAGCAACUGCUGAUUAACCUCCUCCUUAAACUUCUCAUGAAGAACCCUUAACUGUUCUUGUUGCUCUGAAACAGGAAGACAUAGGACCAGGUAUAUCAUUUGAGUAACUAACGUUUAUUCAAGAGAAACAACAGAAGACAUGCAAGAAAACAAGGUAAAGUAUAAGGAUUCCCCAAAGGAAUCUUGCGACAAAUGUGCCUUGCUAACCAAACAGGCGACUAGCCUGGUCAAACAUACCUAACUUCUGGUGUGGCAUGGUUAGCAUACCAACCAAACAGGCUCUAAGCCUAAAUAUAUGCAUACACAGUAAAAAAUCCAAAGGGUAGAAGAUACUCCAAAGAUGUUUUGUAUUCUUCAAUAUGGACUAAAUAUGGACAGAAAUGAGUGAACACACUAAAAUGCAUCUAUACACACCCAAAUCAGAAAAAAGUAGAACAUCUUAUAAUAGUGAACGGAGGGACUAGUAAAUAAGAAAUAACCAAACUAUAGUGGAUAAGUGCAGGCAGAUUCAAAGAAAUGGUACAUUAAUUUUUCUCAAAUUAAUCUUUCAUGGCACUGAUUUUAUGCUUCAGCAUUCAGACGAUGAAAGUGAUUCAAGAACAAAAUCAACCUAUUUAAGCUUAGUUUUUGGGGAUUCUUUAUAUGCAUUCAACAUUCGUCUUAUUAUGUUUUUCUAAGUUUAGGAUACGCUGGACCUACAUAACAUACAGGAAUCAGAUCAUGACUUUAUAUGUCUAUACGAAUACUCUACAACUUACUGAAGUAUAAGAUUAUGUAAAUUGCUCGAGCUGAAUAAUCCAAAUAGCUGAAGUAUGAGUGGCACAAUGGAUCAGAAUACUAGUACACAUCAUAUCUUUAUAGAUACAGCUUUCUGGACGGAUUCUGACUAAUGGGUCUAAUCUUCAUAAAACUCAUGAUUCACAAUAACAGACCACAAAACUAAUUUCUGCAGUAACAUAAUAUAGGUUGUACCUUCAAAUGUUGAUUCUAGUCGCUUUCUUUUAGAUUUUCCUGCAUUGACCAGCUUAUCCCUGAAAGUACAGUUGAAUGUGUCAAAAAUAGCUGCACCUCUAAUAUAUGUGAUACUUUUAUAACAAGCCUAGAUAUACAACUAGGUCUGUAUAUGCAGAUAAGAUGUUGUUUCUUGGUAGCGCCGGCAAAGAUCUUACACAUCAUCCUGCAUCUGCACCUCAACUCCCUCAAGGUGCUGGCGUAUUAUCUCCCCAGUACCUGCCAGUAUCUCAGAACUUUUGUUUCUUGUUUCAGACUUGAUCUUGGUUUGAAACCUUCCCAGCACCACCAGUAACUGAUCAAAAGCCCUGGUUACAAUCAAGAAACAAAAUUGGAUCAACCAACAAUAUCAGAUAUGUAUUUCUUUACACAAUCUACAAAACGGACCUGGUUAGGUAGUCAUCUGGGCAUUGCACUGGUUCUUUGUCUGACAUUAUAGUUUCUUGUGUUCCUGAAUGAAUUAGUAAUGACAUAUCAGUUAUGAACUGCAACCGUUAGUUGAACGUAAGAAGGUAAUCAACUUUACCUGAAGUGACAAAAGGAAUAGGCGAAGGUAAGCGCCGUUUUUUGCCUCUUUUACCAUCUUUCAUAUGUGAUUUCCUAUCCAGAUUUUCUGGAGGAGAUUUAUCAGGGCUGUCUACAUCUGAAAGCCAUUUGCGAGAUUUAUAUCCUACACAUGAAGAACCAGUUAUAGAUAAGUAACACUUACAGGUAAACAAUUUUUGGAUAAAUAUAUGACAUAGUGUAAUUUAUACGUCUCCAACAGCAUGUGGGAAAAGCUUGGCUCACGUUAUUAAUUUUCCAGAACUAAAGUGUCAAAAUAUUAAACUUAAAACACUUAGCAAAAAACAAUAAUGAAACGCAUUUAAAGUAGCAUGAAUGCACAUGACAGAAUAUGCCACAUGUUGCUUCUAUUCCAUUUGAAUGGCUUGCAUGAGCAAGCACUUCAUACAAUAGUUAAAGAGUGAGUGGAUCAUGUUUUGGAGAGCCUUAACCUUAAAGCCACAGUAGGACUAUUGGAUGCUCUGCCACUGAUAGUGGUUGAUCAAUGAUUGCUAUGAAAAAAUUGUGGAAAUAGAGCUGAUGCAAUAAAAGUAGGACUAUCAGACAUAGUUAGAAAAAAAAACAUGCCUAGGCUCUAGGCGAUAGUAAAACACACCUAGUGCUUAAUGUGUGCAUAAAUACGCUUUGGUUAGCAAAGCGCAAGCAUGUGGCAAAAUGUGCAAUUAACACCUAGCAUUUUUUUUAACUUUGCUAUUGGAUGCUCUGACUCCCAAUGUUUAACUUUUUUUCAGGAAAAGGACAGGAGCUCUGCCAAUAAUGUUUAACUAGUAACAGAUACCUAGAGAAAGUCAAUUUAUAUGUGCAAAUACAUAAAGAAGAAUGUGUUCUAGAAGAGUAUUAUCCUCGUGCAGAACAGAUGGGGUAGUACUCUGUAAGCUAACACUGUCACCUUCGGUUCUAUAAAUGUAGCACUAAAUCUGAAAGUGACCAAACAUACUCUAGAA